This 252-nucleotide ribosomal RNA is filed under the name uncultured bacterium. RNAcentral describes it as "partial 16S ribosomal RNA". It matches the Rfam family "Bacterial small subunit ribosomal RNA", at positions 524 to 775 of the family's 1533-position model. The record is from RNAcentral.
UACGUAGGGUGCAAGCGUUGUCCGGAAUUAUUGGGCGUAAAGAGCUCGUAGGCGGUUUGUCGCGUCUGCUGUGAAAACUGGAGGCUCAACCUCCAGCCUGCAGUGGGUACGGGCAAACUAGAGUGCGGUAGGGGAGAUUGGAAUUCCUGGUGUAGCGGUGGAAUGCGCAGAUAUCAGGAGGAACACCGAUGGCGAAGGCAGAUCUCUGGGCCGUAACUGACGCUGAGGAGCGAAAGCGUGGGGAGCAACAGG